GCCGAAGUGGCGGAAUUGGUAGACGCGCACGUUUGAGGGGCGUGUGGCGCAAGCCAUGCCGGUUCGAGUCCGGCCUUCGGCACCA
This 85-nucleotide transfer RNA is filed under the name Acidobacteria bacterium RBG_13_68_16. Its description in RNAcentral is "tRNA-Leu". It matches the Rfam family "tRNA". From Rfam's summary of the family: Transfer RNA (tRNA) molecules are approximately 80 nucleotides in length. Their secondary structure includes four short double-helical elements and three loops (D, anti-codon, and T loops). RNAcentral also lists the same sequence under 6 other names. Lineage: Bacteria; Pseudomonadati; Acidobacteriota. The record is from RNAcentral.